UCCUCGGUAGCUCAGUGGUAGAGCGGUCGGCUGUUAACCGAUUGGUCGCAGGUUCGAAUCCUGCCCGGGGAG
This 72-nucleotide transfer RNA is filed under the name Synechococcus sp. WH 5701. It matches the Rfam family "tRNA". Rfam says of the family: Transfer RNA (tRNA) molecules are approximately 80 nucleotides in length. Lineage: Bacteria; Bacillati; Cyanobacteriota; Cyanophyceae; Synechococcales; Synechococcaceae. The record is from Rfam by way of RNAcentral. RNAcentral also lists the same sequence under 17 other names.